UCUGACGGAGCACGCCGCGUGAGUGAUGAAGGUUUUCGGAUCGUAAAACUCUGUUGUUAGGGAAGAACAAGUACCGGAGUAACUGCCGGUACCUUGACGGUACCUAACCAGAAAGCCACGGCUAACUACGUGCCAGCAGCCGCGGUAAUACGUAGGUGGCAAGCGUUGUCCGGAAUUAUUGGGCGUAAAGCGCGCGCAGGCGGUUCCUUAAGUCUGAUGUGAAAGCCCACGGCUCAACCGUGGAGGGUCAUUGGAAACUGGGGAACUUGAGUGCAGAAGAGAAGAGUGGAAUUCCACGUGUAGCGGUGAAAUGCGUAGAGAUGUGGAGGAACACCAGUGGCGAAGGCGACUCUUUGGUCUGUAACUGACGCUGAGGCGCGAAAGCGUGGGGAGCAAACAGGAUUAGAUACCCUGGUAGUCCACGCCGUAAACGAUGAGUGCUAAGUGUUAGAGGGUUUCCGCCCUUUAGUGCUGCAGCAAACGCAUUAAGCACUCCGCCUGGGGAGUACGGCCGCAAGGCUGAAACUC
RNAcentral lists this ribosomal RNA (528 nucleotides) under Bacillus sp. MN07-09. Its description in RNAcentral is "bacterial SSU rRNA". It matches the Rfam family "Bacterial small subunit ribosomal RNA", at positions 382 to 902 of the family's 1533-position model. The record is from RNAcentral. Lineage: Bacteria; Bacillati; Bacillota; Bacilli; Caryophanales; Bacillaceae.